UACGUAGGGGGCAAGCGUUGUCCGGAAUCAUUGGGCGUAAAGAGCGUGUAGGCGGCCAGAAAAGUCCGCUGUGAAAACUCGAGGCUCAACCUCGAGACGUCGGUUGAAACCGUACGGCUAGAGUCCGGAAGAGGAGAGUGGAAUUCCCGGUGUAGCGGUGAAAUGCGUAGAGAUCGGGAGGAACACCAGUGGCGAAGGCGGCUACCUGGACCAGCACUGACACUGAGGCACGAAAGCGUGGGGAGCAAACAGG
This 253-nucleotide ribosomal RNA is filed under the name uncultured bacterium. RNAcentral's name for it is "partial 16S ribosomal RNA". It matches the Rfam family "Bacterial small subunit ribosomal RNA", at positions 524 to 776 of the family's 1533-position model. The record is from RNAcentral.